Molecule: small nuclear RNA, 122 nt
Organism: Cricetulus griseus (Chinese hamster)
Lineage: Eukaryota; Metazoa; Chordata; Mammalia; Rodentia; Cricetidae
Gene: U12
Rfam family: U12 minor spliceosomal RNA
About the family: Although the U12 sequence is very divergent from that of U2, the two are functionally analogous.
Source: Ensembl
GUACCUUAAACUUAUGAGUAGGGAAGAUACCAGUGUGGGGUAACGCCUAAGUCUGAGUCCUCACUGCUAAUGUGAGAUGAAUUUUUGAGCUGGUAAAGGUUGCCCCUAAGAUGAUCUACCUA